This 494-nucleotide ribosomal RNA is filed under the name uncultured bacterium. Its description in RNAcentral is "partial 16S ribosomal RNA". It matches the Rfam family "Bacterial small subunit ribosomal RNA", at positions 28 to 507 of the family's 1533-position model. The record is from RNAcentral.
GACGAACGCUGGCGGCGUGCUUAACACAUGCAAGUCGAACGGUGAAGCGCCUUCCUUUUUGGUGGGUGUGGAUGAGUGGCGAACGGGUGAGUAACACGUGAGUAACCUGCCCCCUUCUUCUGGAUAACCGCAUGAAAGUGUGGCUAAUACGGGAUAUUCUGGGUCUGUCGCAUGAUGGGUCUGGGAAAGAUAUUGUUUCGGUGGGGGAUGGGCUCGCGGCCUAUCAGCUUGUUGGUGGGGUGAUGGACUACCAAGGCGGUGAGGAGUCGACGGCCUGAGAGGGUCGGCCGUCCUACUAGGACGACGAGGCCGCGAAGACUACGGCGGGCAGCAGCAGGGAGGAUUAUGGCACGAUGGGAGCAAGCCUGAAGCAGCGACGCCGCGUGAGGGAUGGAGGCCUGAGGGUUGUGAACCUCUUUCGCCAGUGAAGCAGGGCUGACUCGUUUAUGGAUGGGUUGACGGUAGCUGGAUAAGAAGCGCCGGCUAACUACGUG